GAUGAACGCGGCGGCGUGCCUAAUACAUGCAAGUCGAGCGAGAAGCUUGGAAAUGACGCUUCGGUUGAUUUUCCAAGCGGACAGCGGCGGACGGGUGAGUAACGCGUAGGCAACCUGCCCCUGACAGAGGGAUAGCCAUUGGAAACGAUGAUUAAAACCUCAUGACACCGUAGUAGCACAUGCUACAUCGGUCAAAGAUUUAUCGGUCAGGGAUGGGCCUGCGUCUGAUUAACUGGUUGGUGAGGUAACGGCUCACCAAGGUGACGAUCAGUAGCCGACCUGAGAGGGUGAUCGGCCACAUUGGAACUGAGACACGGUCCAAACUUCUACGGAAGGCAGCAGUAGGGAAUCUUGCACAAUGGGCGAAAGCCUGAUGCAGCAACGCCGCGUGAAGGAUGAAGGCCUUCGGGUUGUAAACUUCUUUCUAAGGGAAGAA
This 436-nucleotide ribosomal RNA is filed under the name Mogibacterium timidum. Its description in RNAcentral is "bacterial SSU rRNA". It matches the Rfam family "Bacterial small subunit ribosomal RNA", at positions 28 to 449 of the family's 1533-position model. The record is from RNAcentral. Lineage: Bacteria; Bacillati; Bacillota; Clostridia; Peptostreptococcales; Anaerovoracaceae.